This 621-nucleotide ribosomal RNA is filed under the name uncultured Flavobacteriales bacterium. RNAcentral's name for it is "bacterial SSU rRNA". It matches the Rfam family "Bacterial small subunit ribosomal RNA", at positions 111 to 730 of the family's 1533-position model. The record is from RNAcentral. Lineage: Bacteria; Pseudomonadati; Bacteroidota; Flavobacteriia; Flavobacteriales.
UAACGCGUAUGCAAUCUGCCUUCCACAGAGGGAUAGCCCAGAGAAAUCUGGAUUAAUACCUCAUAGCAUUACAGGAUGGCAUCAUCCGGUAAUUAAAGUCACAACGGUGGAAGAUGAGCAUGCGUCCCAUUAGCUAGUUGGUAAGGUAACGGCUUACCAAGGCGACGAUGGGUAGGGGUCCUGAGAGGGAGAUCCCCCACACUGGUACUGAGACACGGACCAGACUCCUACGGGAGGCAGCAGUGAGGAAUAUUGGUCAAUGGGUGCAAGCCUGAACCAGCCAUGCCGCGUGCAGGAUGACGGUCCUAUGGAUUGUAAACUGCUUUUGUACGGGAAGAAACACUGAUUCGUGAAUCAGCCUGACGGUACCGUAAGAAUAAGGAUCGGCUAACUCCGUGCCAGCAGCCGCGGUAAUACGGAGGAUCCAAGCGUUAUCCGGAAUCAUUGGGUUUAAAGGGUCUGUAGGCGGUCUUGUAAGUCAGUGGUGAAAGCCCAUCGCUCAACGGUGGAACGGCCAUUGAUACUGCAGGACUUGAAUUACCGGGAAGUAACUAGAAUAUGUAGUGUAGCGGUGAAAUGCUUAGAUAUUACAGGGAAUACCAAUUGCGAAGGCAGGUUACU